AGCUCGCUUGGUAGAGUGCUUGCCCAGCAUGCCCAAGACCCAGGGUUUUCUCACCAGCACUGCAUAAAAUGAGUGUGGAAUUCCAGCACACUGGAGGUGGGAGCAGGAAGGUCAGAAACUCAAGGCCAGCCUAGACUAUGUGCCCAUUCUCUCCCCUCACCUCUCCCACAAAUUUUAACUCAUGCCUCCACCAGUCACAAACUCACUGCUUUAUGGAACUGUGACAUUGUUUUAUUCCAAUAUUGUUUCCAACAGUCCAAGAAUUUUCUAUCAUACUUCCAAACAAGAAAAGGCUCUUUCUGUGCCUUAACUGCAAUUCCUCUACCCCAAAUACAAGUCUUUUUAAUCGGGAGCUUUGCACCCAUAUUGUCCUAAAAAAAAAAAAAAAAAAAAAAAAAAAGGAAAAGCUAAUUAUCAUUGUCUUGGUUACUGUUCUAUCGCUGUGGAGAGACACUAUGACCAAGACAAUUCUUAUUUUAAAAAGCAUGUAACUGGGGGCUUGCUUACAGUUUUAAAGGGUUAGUCCACGAUCAUCAUGACAGAAAGAAGUCAGGCACAGUCAGCACUGUAGCUGAGUGCUUUAUGCCUUGACCUACAGGCAGAAGGCAGAGAGGAGAGGGACACUGGGCCUGGCGUGGUCUUUUUUUAAUGGACACAUUUCCUUAUGCCAAUAAGACUGCACCUCCUAAAUGUUCUCACAGUCCACUCCCAGGUGACUAAGCGUGCAAAUAUAUUAGCCUGGGAAGGACAUUGUCAUUCAAACCAGCACAUGUAUUUCCAUAUAUAUAUAAGAACAUUAGUGACUGCAGCUCCAGUGCAGAUUACGGGCUCUCACCAGCUCUAGUCAAAGGCAGAGUAGAGAAAGUUGAUCCUCUCUCUCAGUGUUAGGACAGUCAAGACAGAUCUGAGAAGCUGUGUUUGCUAAGUAUUGACUUCUCCUUGGGGAGCCUGGAUGGCAUCUCUGCCUUCAUCUUGUCUGUCUGUCUCCUAUAUAUUGACUGAAAGCAGAGAGAUAAAUUGUUCUAAACAGUUGCUUUGAAUUCC
This 1044-nucleotide long non-coding RNA is filed under the name Mus musculus (house mouse). RNAcentral describes it as "long non-coding RNA chr16:10250331-10251375". Lineage: Eukaryota; Metazoa; Chordata; Mammalia; Rodentia; Muridae. The record is from RNAcentral.